ACGGAAGGCAGCAGUGAGGAAUAUUGGUCAAUGGGCGGAAGCCUGAACCAGCCAUGCCGCGUGCAGGAAUAAGGCCCUAUGGGUCGUAAACUGCUUCUGUGGUGGAGCAAUAAGUCCUACGCGUAGGGCGAUGAGAGUACAUCACGAAUAAGCAACGGCUAACUACGUGCCAGCAGCCGCGGUAAUACGUAGGUUGCAAGCGUUGUCCGGAUUUACUGGGUGUAAAGGGCGUGUAGGCGGAGCUGCAAGUCAGAUGUGAAAUCCCGGGGCUUAACCCCGGAACUGCAUUUGAAACUGUAGCCCUUGAGUAUCGGAGAGGCAAGCGGAAUUCCUAGUGUAGCGGUGAAAUGCGUAGAUAUUAGGAGGAACACCAGUGGCGAAGGCGGCUUGCUGGACGACAACUGACGCUGAGGCGCGAAAGCGUGGGGAGCAAACAGGAUUAGAUACCCUGGUA
This 454-nucleotide ribosomal RNA is filed under the name uncultured Oscillospiraceae bacterium. RNAcentral's name for it is "bacterial SSU rRNA". It matches the Rfam family "Bacterial small subunit ribosomal RNA", at positions 341 to 792 of the family's 1533-position model. Lineage: Bacteria; Bacillati; Bacillota; Clostridia; Eubacteriales; Oscillospiraceae. The record is from RNAcentral.